This 476-nucleotide ribosomal RNA is filed under the name Cryptosporidium ubiquitum. RNAcentral's name for it is "SSU rRNA". It matches the Rfam family "Eukaryotic small subunit ribosomal RNA", at positions 567 to 1070 of the family's 1831-position model. The record is from RNAcentral. Lineage: Eukaryota; Apicomplexa; Conoidasida; Eucoccidiorida; Cryptosporidiidae.
CCAGCAGCCGCGGUAAUUCCAGCUCCAAUAGCGUAUAUUAAAGUUGUUGCAGUUAAAAAGCUCGUAGUUGGAUUUCUGUUAAUAAUUUAUAUAUAAUAUUUUAUUAAUAUUUAUAUAGUAUUAACAUAAUUCAUAUUACUAUAUUUUAUAGUAUAUGAAAUUUUACUUUGAGAAAAUUAGAGUGCUUAAAGCAGGCAUUAGCCUUGAAUACUCCAGCAUGGAAUAAUAUAAAAGAUUUUUAUCUUUUUUAUUGGUUCUAAGAUAAAAAUAAUGAUUAAUAGGGACAGUUGGGGGCAUUUGUAUUUAACAGUCAGAGGUGAAAUUCUUAGAUUUGUUAAAGACAAACUAGUGCGAAAGCAUUUGCCAAGGAUGUUUUCAUUAAUCAAGAACGAAAGUUAGGGGAUCGAAGACGAUCAGAUACCGUCGUAGUCUUAACCAUAAACUAUGCCAACUAGAGAUUGGAGGUUGUUCCUUAC